GGGGGUCUCAGAAAAAAAAUUAUACCAUUAUAAAUAACUGCUACGGUACAGUAGGUGUGCGAGGAAAGACUGCAGCAGCAUGUGGAGAGAUCUUUAUAGGACAGACUGGGCGGGGCUAAAUGAGAGUGUUGCAGCAGACUGGGCGGGGUUAAAUGAGAGUGUUGCAGCAGACUGGGCGGAGCUAAAUGAGAGUGUUGCAGCAGACUGGGCGUGGCUAAGUGAGAGUGUUGCAGCAUGCUGGGCGUGGCUAAGUAAGAGUGUUGCAGCAGACUGGGCGGGUCUAAAGGAGAGUGUUGCAGCAGACUGGGCGUGGCUAAGUAAGAGUGUUGCAGCAGACUGGGCGGAACUAAGUGAGAGUGUUGCAGCAGACUGGAUUUGGCUAAGUGAGAGUGUUGCAGCAGACUGGGCGUGGCUAAGUGAGAGUGUUGCAGCAGACUGGGAGGAGCUAAGUGAGAUUGUUGCAGCAGACUGGGUGGGGAUAAAUGAGAGUGUUGCAACAGACUGGGCGUGGCUAAG
This is a long non-coding RNA of Erpetoichthys calabaricus (reedfish), 516 nucleotides long. RefSeq lists it as uncharacterized. The record is from RefSeq and is a predicted model, not a curated record. The transcript is spliced from 3 exons. NCBI's taxonomy places the organism in Eukaryota, Metazoa, Chordata, Cladistia, Polypteriformes, Polypteridae.